AUAUAGCCGACCCCAAAUUUUUGGAAUAAAGGCUUAGUUGAGUUGAGUUUAGUUGAGUACUAUAAAUGAGAUGUUCCAUUCUCUGAUGAUGAUAUCUAACUUUAAAAGUGUGUAAACUAAAUUAAUAGCGUCAUUCAUCUAUCAUAAACCGAUGAAAGUUUUGGUACAAUUUUUACAGCUCUUUGAGGAGACAAAUUGGAUUCCUAAACUCAAAAACGCAACAAGUGUGUGUGUCAAUGUAAUAUGGCUAAUUGAUACCCUCUUACAUCAUUCAAGUGUUGUGUGUCAAUGUAAUAUAGCUAAUUGAAUUGAUAAACUCAUACAUCCAGUUGUUGUGGUCAAAUGUUGUAGUACAAUUGUUGCUGGUAGAAGGCAGAUUCAAAUAAAGCUACAUGCCAAAAUUUUUUUUCCCG
This 413-nucleotide unclassified non-coding RNA is filed under the name Hevea brasiliensis (rubber tree). The record is from RNAcentral. Lineage: Eukaryota; Viridiplantae; Streptophyta; Magnoliopsida; Malpighiales; Euphorbiaceae.